This is a long non-coding RNA of Etheostoma cragini (Arkansas darter), 87 nucleotides long. RefSeq lists it as uncharacterized. Lineage: Eukaryota; Metazoa; Chordata; Actinopteri; Perciformes; Percidae. The transcript has 3 exons. The record is from RefSeq and is a predicted model, not a curated record.
AGAGGACAUAUUGACAUGUCACAGUAGAAAACCCCAGGUGCAAUUGUUAAAAUUAAUGAUGGUUGAAUCCCAUUUGGCUGCUUCAGU